AAAUAUUUCAUAUAAAUAUAAAAAAUUAUUAUAUUUUUUUAUAAAAAAUAAUUUAUUAUAAGUAUACUUAUAAAAAUUUAAAUAUUUUUUAAUUAUAAUAUUAUUUAUAAUAUUUA
This 116-nucleotide transfer RNA is filed under the name Plasmodium falciparum IGH-CR14. Its description in RNAcentral is "tRNA-Asn". Lineage: Eukaryota; Apicomplexa; Aconoidasida; Haemosporida; Plasmodiidae. The record is from RNAcentral.